Molecule: ribosomal RNA, 297 nt
Filed under: uncultured Mycobacterium sp.
Lineage: Bacteria; Bacillati; Actinomycetota; Actinomycetes; Mycobacteriales; Mycobacteriaceae
Description: partial 16S ribosomal RNA
Rfam family: Bacterial small subunit ribosomal RNA
Source: RNAcentral
AGAGUUUGAUCCUGGCUCAGGACGAACGCUGGCGGCGUGCUUAACACAUGCAAGUCGAACGGAAAGGCCUCUUCGGAGGUACUCGAGUGGCGAACGGGUGAGUAACACGUGGGCAAUCUGCCCUGCACUUCGGGAUAAGCCUGGGAAACUGGGUCUAAUACCGGAUAGGACCUCAAGACGCAUGUCUUCUGGUGGAAAGCCUUUGCGGUGUGGGAUGGGCCCGCGGCCUAUCAGCUUGUCGGUGGGGUGACGGCCUACCAAGGCGACGACGGGUAGCCGGCCUGAGAGGGUGUCCGG